Molecule: unclassified non-coding RNA, 183 nt
Filed under: uncultured Chaetothyriales
Lineage: Eukaryota; Fungi; Ascomycota; Eurotiomycetes; Chaetothyriales
Description: sequence contains ITS2
Source: RNAcentral
UCCUCCCUCAAACCCCCGGGUUUGGUGUUGGGCCGCGUUGGCACCGUUCGCGGUCCAACUGGUCUCAAAGACAAUGACGGCGUCCGUGGGACCCUCUUCGCACUGAGCUUUCCGGAGCACGCGUCGAGUUGCAAGGUCGCACGGGCCCGGUCACCUAUCGUACUUCGGUACCAUAUUUUUUCA